Molecule: small RNA, 320 nt
Filed under: Histoplasma capsulatum
Lineage: Eukaryota; Fungi; Ascomycota; Eurotiomycetes; Onygenales; Ajellomycetaceae
Also listed under: 1 other name
Description: hypothetical RNA
Source: RNAcentral
UAAUCUAUCUAUUACUGUUAAUCUAUCACUGCUGUCAAUCUAUCUACCACUGCUAAUCUAUCUAUCACUGUCAAUCUAUCUACCACUGUUAAUCUAUCACUGCUAAUCUAUUGCUGUUAAUCUAUUGCUGUUAAUCUAUCUAUCACUGCUAAUCUAUCACUGUCAAUCUAUCUACUGCUGUCAAUCUAUCUACCACUGCUAAUCUAUCACUGCUAAUCUAUCACUGCUAAUCUAUUGCUGCUAAUCUAUUACUGUUAAUCUAUUACUGCUAAUCUAUCUAUCACUGCUAAUCUAUUGCUGUCAAUCUAUCUAUCACUGCC